GAUGAAGAACGUAGUGAAAUGCGAUAAGUAAUGUGAAUUGCAGAAUUCAGUGAAUCAUCGAAUCUUUGAACGCAUCUUGCGCUCCUUGGUAUUCCUUGGAGCAUGCCUGUUUGAGUAUCAUGAGCAAAUCUCAAAGUCAAUUCCUUUUGUUGAUUCAAUUGGUUUUGCUUUGGACUUUGAGGCCUUGCAGAUUUCACAGUCUGCUCCUCUUAAAUGCAUUAGCUGGAUCUCAGUAAUUAUGCUUGGUUCCACUCGGCGUGAUAAGUAUCACUCGCUGAGGACACUGUUAAAAAGGUGGCCAGGAAAAUACUGAUUGAACCGCUUCUAACGGUCUAUUAAGUUAGACAAUUACCCUUAAGUUUGAUCUCAAAUCAGGUAGGACUACCCGCUGAACUUAAGCAUAUCAAUAAGCGGAGGA
Molecule: unclassified non-coding RNA, 418 nt
Filed under: soil metagenome
Description: partial contains 5.8S ribosomal RNA, internal transcribed spacer 2, and large subunit ribosomal RNA
Rfam family: 5.8S ribosomal RNA (bases 1-120)
Source: RNAcentral